Molecule: ribosomal RNA, 460 nt
Filed under: uncultured bacterium
Lineage: Bacteria
Description: partial 16S ribosomal RNA
Rfam family: Bacterial small subunit ribosomal RNA
Source: RNAcentral
CCUACGGGAGGCAGCAGUGAGUAAUAUUGGUCAAUGGGCGUAAGCCUGAACCAGCCAAGUCGCGUGAGGGAUGAAGGUUCUAUGGAUCGUAAACCUCUUUUAUAAGGGAAUAAAGUGUGGGACGUGUCCUGUUUUGUAUGUACCUUAUGAAUAAGGAUCGGCUAACUCCGUGCCAGCAGCCGCGGUAAUACGGAGGAUACGAGCGUUAUCCGGAUUUAUUGGGUUUAACGGUUGCGUAGGCGGCCUUUUAAGUCAGCGGUGAAAGUCUGUGGCUCAACCAUAGAAUUGCCGUUGAAACUGGGAGGCUUGAGUAUGUUUGAGGCAGGCGGAAGGCGUGGUGUAGCGGUGAAAUGCUUAGAUAUCACGCAGAACCCCGAUUGCGAAGGCAGCCUGCCAAGCCAUGACUGACGCUGAUGCACGAAAGCGUGGGGAUCAAACAGGAUUAGAUACCCGAGUAGUC